Molecule: transfer RNA, 85 nt
Filed under: Aspergillus cristatus
Lineage: Eukaryota; Fungi; Ascomycota; Eurotiomycetes; Eurotiales; Aspergillaceae
Description: tRNA-Leu
Source: RNAcentral
UAUGGGUAUGCUGAAAUUUGGUAACCAGGUUCCGUUUAGGCCGGGAUAGUUUUAACUUUACAAGUUCAAGUCUUGUUACCCAUAU